Molecule: ribosomal RNA, 550 nt
Filed under: uncultured stramenopile
Lineage: Eukaryota
Description: SSU rRNA
Rfam family: Eukaryotic small subunit ribosomal RNA
Source: RNAcentral
GUAUAUUAAAGUUGUUGCAGUUAAAAAGCUCGUAGUUGGAUUUCUGGUUGAAGCGACCGGUCGGGCGUUGAUUCGUCUGCACUGGAGUCGGUUUUGGCCAUCCUCUAGGAAAGUGCGUCUGGUAUUAAGUUGUCGGGCGUAUGAUCCUGGUCUUUUACUGUGAAAAAAUUAGAGUGUUUAAAGCAGGCCUUCGCCUUGAAUACAUUAGCAUGGAAUAAUAAGAUAGGACUUUGGUCUAUUUUGUUGGUUUGCAGACCGAAGUAAUGAUUAAUAGGGAUAGUUGGGGGUAUUUAUAUUCCGAUGUCAGAGGUGAAAUUCUUAGAUUUUCGGAAGAUAAACUUAUGCGAAAGCAUUUACCAAGGAUGUUUUCAUUAAUCAAGAACGAAAGUUAGGGGAUCGAAGAUGAUUAGAUACCAUCGUAGUCUUAACCAUAAACUAUGCCGACUCAGGAUUGGUGGACGUUUAUUUAAUGACUCCAUCAGCACUGUAUGAGAAAUCAAAGUCUUUGGGUUCCGGGGGGAGUAUGGUCGCAAGGCUGAAACUUAAAGGA